UCCCUGGUGGCUUAGACGGUAAAGCAUCUGCCUACAACAUGGGAGACCCGGGUUCGAUCCCUGGGUCGGGAA
Molecule: transfer RNA, 72 nt
Filed under: Ovis aries (sheep)
Lineage: Eukaryota; Metazoa; Chordata; Mammalia; Artiodactyla; Bovidae
Rfam family: tRNA
About the family: Transfer RNA (tRNA) molecules are approximately 80 nucleotides in length. Their secondary structure includes four short double-helical elements and three loops (D, anti-codon, and T loops).
Source: Rfam by way of RNAcentral